CUGAGAGGAGCAAAAGAGAAGCAAAGCAGCCGCGUGGCCGCAUGGUCAUGCCGAAAUGCACGCCUAUUGUCAAGCCACGGAGUCGCCGUUCACGGAGUACGUAAGAGCUCACAUGUAAAGAUCGAUGCACGGACGCUCGGUUGCAUUGCGCACCUAAUAAUUGCUGUUGGGGGGAUAUGGAGUCACACAAUUGCACGGGAAGAGGAGAGGAAAAAUCGAGGAGGCAACAAAACUGUAAAGAAAGCAAAUGCCUUCCCUCAAAAGGAGGAAAAAGAAUCUAAAAGUGAGACAAGUGGGAGAAAUAAUAGGCUUCGAUUUCCGCCCUUGUGUUUCCUGUCUUUGGCAUGCUGGCUUUUGGAGCUCUCCGUCAAACGGCGAAAUUGGAAAACAAAAAAGGCUGGAAUCUUGGGAAGAAUCCAGAGACGAUGGUGUGGUAGGGUAUUUCCUUGACCUUUUUUUUUUGGGUAGAUCCUGAUUACUUUUAGGGUUUUUAUUAUGCUGCCAUGGCCUUUCCUUUUUUUCUCGUUUAACUCAUUAUUUGUUGCUUCGUAUUUCUUUUGCUUUGUCACUUCUUGCUUUCUACUGUUAAUCGAAGCUCGAUCCUGUUGCUAUUGCUGUAAGUCUAGGUAAAAGAUUGGAUUUUCUCCAUAUCUGUUUACUGCUAGUAUUUUCAAGCUUCCUGAUAGUGAUUUAUUUGGUAAAUAUUGCUUUCCUGAUCUUGUUAGUUCUUGAUUUGAACAGUAAAAUUUCGAGACUUCGGUGGAAAUAGACGAAGAUUUUGUUUUUCUUUUCUUCUUUUUAGACUGGAAAUGGUUGUGGACUGUGAUGAUCUAUCAUAAUAAUGAAGAGUAGAGCUAGAAUUCCCAGUGAUGGCCUCUGGAGCUGCUGUUUGGUUGCGUUGAUGUGAGUUCCAAACCGGGAAUCAUGGCCUGUAGGGAAUCCUUCGACGUCAGCAUGCACAAGUGUUCGGUGCAAUCCCCACGAGGUGGAUUCAGUGCAGGAGGACCUGAUGGAAUGUCCUCGGCGAUGCCUGCACAUGUUCUAAACAUCAAUAUGGAGGAGCCUGUGAAACGAAAGCGCAGGCAACCAAGGAAAUAUGUUCCUGAUGGUUCAAUGGCCCUUGCCCUGACCCCUGUACCGACUGCCGCUCCGUUGCUGCCCGGAUCUGGUGGAUUCUCACACACUACAGAGGCUACUAACACCGUGACAUCGGUCUCAGCAGAUACUAUAAAGAAAGCAAGGGUCCUGCCAAAAGGUUUUGGCAAGAAGCUGCAGAUGCUUGCUCUGGGAUCAGCAGGGGUUGGGUUUACUCCUCAUGUGAUUACAGUAAAGACUGGAGAGGAUGUAUCAUCCAAAAUCAUGUCCUUUUCUCAGAAUGGACGACGUGCCAUAUGUGUUCUUUCGGCAAAUGGUGCUAUAUCAAAUGUAUCUCUUCGUCGGGCAUCAACAUCCGGUGGAUCUGUAACUUAUGAGGGACAAUUUGAAAUCUUAUCAUUAUCGGGAUCAUUUCUACUCACGGAGAGUGGUUGGUGGUCAGCAUAGUCGAACGGGUGGCUUGAGUGUUUCACUGGUUGGUCCCGAUGGACGUGUUUUAGGUGGUGGAGUUGCAGGACUUUUGACGGCUGCAUCCGCGGUCCAGGUGGGAAAAAAGAGUCAAAGCAGAUUAAUGACUUAGAUUCGGCAUCUGCCCCUGCAAAGCAUUCUCCAGGAGGGAGGUCGCCGGCAGGCAGCGGUCCAACAACCCACACGGGGCACCUUAAGCGAAUCCUCCUGCAGGCCUGCGAGUCCUCUCAAUGGGAGCACUGGGACACUCAACAACAGCAACCGGCAGGGCUUCUCCAACAUGCACUGGAAAUAGCUGACCCUGACACCACCGUGGAAUCUUAGUUCUUGGUGAAGAGGAACAGCAAUUGCUGGUCAUUGCCUGCACCACCUCAGAUCUUUGCUCAGUACCGUGUUGUAGUUUAGAGGCAAGCAGAUCAUCUUUGUAGCUACAUUAUCUAGCUGUUUGUGCUCCUAACACUGUGUAGAUGUUGCAUGGAGUUAAUCCGUGCAUUAUUAUUUCUUUCUCUGGUUUGACUA
This is an RNA transcript of Musa acuminata AAA Group (dessert banana), 2082 nucleotides long. It is a transcript of the gene named AT-hook motif nuclear-localized protein 10-like, with no coding region annotated. The transcript is spliced from 6 exons. NCBI's taxonomy places the organism in Eukaryota, Viridiplantae, Streptophyta, Magnoliopsida, Zingiberales, Musaceae. The record is from RefSeq and is a predicted model, not a curated record.